UUUCGCCCUCAAAUCAGGUAGGACUACCCGCUGAACUU
RNAcentral lists this ribosomal RNA (38 nucleotides) under Clavispora lusitaniae. Its description in RNAcentral is "partial 28S ribosomal RNA". Lineage: Eukaryota; Fungi; Ascomycota; Pichiomycetes; Serinales; Metschnikowiaceae. The record is from RNAcentral.